This is a non-coding RNA of Meleagris gallopavo (turkey), 2541 nucleotides long. NCBI's taxonomy places the organism in Eukaryota, Metazoa, Chordata, Aves, Galliformes, Phasianidae. The record is from RefSeq and is a predicted model, not a curated record.
AAUGCAGGCAUAGGUAUGUGCUGAUUUUGUCACUAAAACAGCAGUUCCUGAGUUGAAAAACCUCAGAUGCCCCUUUCUUCUCCUUAGCAUUUUCCAGAUGUGUUUGAGAUAGAAGCUCAGUUUUGAUGAGCAAAGACUGCCUGAAAGCACUAUCUGACAGGACUCUGAUGAGAAUAUCACUGGCUGUGCAAGGGGAGCUAGCUGACUGAGCUACUCUACAUAUUUGAGUACCUCUUACCUAAAAGUAGGUAAGAGGGACAUUCUUUCUGCAAAAAAUGCCUCAAAGCCUAGAAAUGGAAGCAAGUACACUAUUUAUCUGAAAAAUAUAUCAAAUAAUCUAUGGGUGAGCUGUGUUGUAGCCAGUAGCCUUUAGAGCCUCCACAAAGAACAGCAGAUGAAGAGAGCAAAAGCAGUUGUUGAGAGUAGAGUUUAAGGAGAUUUUAGAGCCAAUACUGAGAUACCACAAGGGCUAUCAGCAGAGCAGCAAGCAAUGGAGCUAGAAAAAGGACAGUGUAAUAACUGAUGGCAAAUGGCAGCAAAGAAGUAUCAGGCACUUAUUGGGCCAGCUCCUUAAACAGCUAUGCAGAGUAGCAUGUCUGCAUUCACAUGUACUGAAAUGGUACCCCCUUCACAUCAAGAGAUGAGCUCUCUCAACAGCAGCUUCUCCAAGGCUAGGCAGCAAACAGUGAGGUGUUCAAGAUGACACAAGAAUGAAGAUACAGCUGUAAGAAAGUCAUAAGGUAAGAUUCCAAAUGUUGCAAUGAGUUUUGAAAAUAUCAAUGUAUGGACUUCAGAUCAAGUAGGUCUGUGCAGUGACAAUAGAUCUGUCAAUCCACAGGGAGUGUGAAAGAGGCCGUCCCUCACAACCCUGUGCUGAAGCACAGCCUUGUGUUAUGUUCAGGCUUUAGAGAUAGGAAAUGGAGAUGGGGGAGGACUGGCUGUCUUGCUUUGUUAUUCAAAGUAGGCAUUGUGAUAGUGAACACAACUCCUUUGUAUUCUGGGGCACCAAGGUGUGUCACACAUAUUCGAAACAAGUUUUAUUUUCUUAAACUCUAUAAGAAUCAUUAAGAAGACCCACUCAGUUGUUCUUACUGAUAGACCCAAAUUUAAAGUUGCUGCCCUCUGUGUAGAUGUGUAACUGACAAACAUGUUUCUGUAGAACUUCAACAGUCCAUUAGCAGAGCUCAGCUUUUCACUGCCUGCACUCAGCCACAUUUAAGUUCAGUGGCUGCUUCUCAUCUUCAAAGCAAAGUCAUCCAGCUUAGUGUCAGUAACCACUCAGGCAGCAGCACAACGUUCUGUUUUGUUGCUGUCCCUGUUUCUGAAAGGACUGUGUAACUGUGCCUUUGGGUGCCAGAAUGCAAAAUUAAGAGCUGAAUACCAGGUAGCUCGUGGGAUCUCCAAGCACCAUAUAGACCUUUUGUGACUCUUUUGAUAAUUCUACUACUUACCCCUUCAGGAACUAAACAAACAUUCACAAAAUACUCAGGAUGACAUCAGCACUCUGAAGUCAUACUUCUGUUUCAUAGGGCAGCACCGCAGAUGACUGUGCACAGCACUAAAGCAGAGACAUGUAGCUAUAGAUACUAGAUAAAAGAGGAACAGUAGAGCCGUCAGAUGUAUGUGCUGCUUUUCAAGUGCUUAGCCACCCAAACUUAAGAUCUGCAAGUGCCUCUCUUCACGUGGGACUAUAUAAAAGUUAUGCACCAGACCCAGUCAGUGCUCCCUGUGCAGUAAGUCCCUUCCCAUUGAAUAUCUUGGUCCUGCUGCCAGCAGAAGUUAAGCUUGCUGGUACACAUUUUAGGAAACAAUGUGUAAGAUGCAUAUAUUCUUUUUUUUCCUUUAGAGGCAGGGGUUGCCUGUAAGAUUAAUAAUUUUCUAUGAAACAAAAGAUGCAGCUGAGUCUUCCAGUGCCAGUUAUACUCCAAUGCUGGUGCUGCCCUUUUGAUGACCAUUAGUGGAAGGCUGCAGUGAUGUGAAAUGCACUUCUAACCCAAGCAUAAUUUGUUCUGCUUACAAGUGAGCAUCAGUGCUCGCACAGAAGUGGUCAAACAACAUGCAGGGCAGACACCCUUUAGGAACUUCAUCUCUAUGCUCAGGCUCUGGUUUCCAGGAAGCAAUUUUUCCCUUAAGAAUUAUUUAAUCAGAGAAAAAUCUUCCGGUACUUAGAGACACAACUGCUGUUGUACAGACAUUGGCAUUACAGAGGAAGUAGCCACAACAUGGCGUGGCUACCCGAGAUAGAACAUUUUCUGAAGCAAAGUGGAGAGAAUAGGGAAUAUAGUGCACAGCAGUGUCCUGGCUACAACUGUCUUAAGGUUUCCCACCUUUGACACUCACACAAGGCAUCAAUUGUAGCUAAACUGUGCUUGUGUCCAAGGUAUCAUUUAUUCAGUGCACUGACUGUUUAUAUUGUUAUUAUAUUGUUUAUGUGUUAUUUGUUUCUGUGUUGAUAAAAUACAUUCAGUAGCAAUUUGCAAGUCCUGCCAUUGCAGGUCAUGUCUGGCUGGCUGUAGAGAGAAACAUGAUUGGUGGAAAAAA